This 69-nucleotide transfer RNA is filed under the name Ovis aries (sheep). It matches the Rfam family "tRNA". From Rfam's summary of the family: Transfer RNA (tRNA) molecules are approximately 80 nucleotides in length. Their secondary structure includes four short double-helical elements and three loops (D, anti-codon, and T loops). Lineage: Eukaryota; Metazoa; Chordata; Mammalia; Artiodactyla; Bovidae. The record is from Rfam by way of RNAcentral.
CCCAGUGAUUCAGAUGGUACAGAAUCUGCCUGCAAUGCAGAAGACAUGGGUUUGAUCCCUGCAUUGGGA